Molecule: ribosomal RNA, 253 nt
Filed under: uncultured bacterium
Lineage: Bacteria
Description: partial 16S ribosomal RNA
Rfam family: Bacterial small subunit ribosomal RNA
Source: RNAcentral
UACGGAGGGUGCAAGCGUUAUCCGGAUUUACUGGGUUUAAAGGGUGUGUAGGCGGGCUUUUAAGUCAGUGGUGAAAUCUCCGGGCUCAACCCGGAAACUGCCAUUGAUACUAUUAGUCUUGAAUUUUGUUGAGGUAGGCGGAAUAAGUCAUGUAGCGGUGAAAUGCUUAGGGAUGACAUAGAAUACCUAUUGCGAAGGCAGCUUACUACGCAGAUAUUGACGCUCAUGCACGAAAGCGUGGGGAUCAAACAGG